Molecule: long non-coding RNA, 2332 nt
Organism: Camelus dromedarius (Arabian camel)
Lineage: Eukaryota; Metazoa; Chordata; Mammalia; Artiodactyla; Camelidae
Exons: 3
Source: RefSeq, a predicted model, not a curated record
CUUAGCCACACAAAGCUGGUCGAUGAGGUGGCACUUCUCUUGGAUCUUUGCAGCCAGUGUUUUUGCCAGUUGCUUUUCAUGUCUUCUAUUAAGCUGACUUCUAACAGGCUGAAUAAGUCUGAAAGUGAAUAACAGACCCACCGAUAAGGCAAGGACAGGCGGACUCAACACCUUCUCCCAGGGGAGGCUCUGCAACAUGAGCUGGGAACACAGGCCUUUGGGCAGCAGCGAAGCCAGGACCGCACUCAGCAUCCUCAGGAUCAGCCCAAAGCCAAGCUCCACGGAGGACAGCAGCCCCUCCAUGGCACUGGCCCACCCAGGGCUCUGCCCAGUUACCGUGGAGCCACCAGCCACAACAAUCCCCAGGGGACACCCCAACAUUCCACCUGGAACCCAGCCAGCAACUGACAUCCUGGAUUGGUCAGUUACCAGGGAGGUGCUGGGACUGUGGACUCUGAGCACGCCCUCUACUGCUGAGCUACACCCACUCCCCGGAGCUGGUAUUGUCGGGUGUAGGUAGACCCAGGCCCUCCCCAGCUCCCAAUAAGAAAAACUUAAGAUCUGAAAUGUGCUCAUCCUCCGGACUGCUUUGUGUCACCCUCCUGACUUUGCUGGCACCAGAUUACAGAAGGAAGUUUAUUCUCAUCAUCCAGACACACUGGUCCUACUGAGAACUCAUUGUCAAGGCUAACCUCUCAGUGGUGUCCCGCUGUCAGAAGAGUGACUUUGCUCCGUGGAAAGCGAUCUGGUGCUUUUUCUGGCUACAGCUGCUGCACAGAGAUGAGGUAAUGAAGGUCUCAGAGUCACUUCAUGGUUACUUUUCCAUGUUCUCCGAGUCAAGAAAUCGCUGGGUCUUGGUUAAGUUGCUCUCUCCUCUACCCUUAGGAUCCAAAUUGCAGUUUUAAAGCGCAUAUCAGACGAUAGGACUGAAAAGCUUGGAAAUUUAUGCCUCGUUGCAGGGGAACAGGUGUUGUUUUGACUGGGGAGAGCCAGGGACAGCAGCUCAGAGGCCCUGUCCUCAUCGAUCACGUCUGAGUCUUGUGCGGGAGACGGUGCUAGCCGCCCUCGGCAUCUUUCCCACACGGCCUUCCGGGACAACAGCUCUUUUGCUAAAUGUGCUGUGAAGUGCUCCUGCUGGGGUAAUGCACCUCCACAGUCCUGUUCAAUGCAUGGGAACUCGAGAAUCCAAGAGUCACCUGCCCGCUCAGUCCUAUCCCAAGCCAGCAGAAUUCUUGACUUUUGCAGGGAUCGAGAACACAGAGAGCACUAUAUGUUUUCUAGAGUCGCCUGCUAAUUUGGAUCCAGUGCAGUUAAAAUUUAUGAGAUUUUUGUCUACUGUCAUGGGCAUAGAUGACGAAGAUAUUUUCAGAGUGAUUCCAUCAUAAUGUGACAUAGUUCCAGUUUGCAGGCCACUUAAAGAGUCAGAAUGAUUAAGCAGAAGCACACAGGCAUAUUCAUAGUGACCUUUGGGUCUUCCAGGGAGUGAUGCUAGCUGUUGUAACAGACAAUCCUAAAAUCUCUGUGACGUUGCACAAUUAAAGCUCAUUUUUCACUCACAUGAAGUCCAGUGGGGUAGAAGUUAAGUGCCAUAAUUCAAGUUAAGUGCCAUAAUUCAAGAAUCCAGACUUCUUUCAUGCCGUGGGGCCAACAUGUUCAAAUGCGGUCUCUAAGGUUAUAGAGUAACAGGAAGAGAGAGGGACCAGGGCAGAGGUGGCAAACUUUUUCUGUAAAGGGUUAGAUCGUUAAUAUUAUGUGUUUUGUGAGCUGCAUGGUUUUGCUGCAAUUACUCAAAUCUGGCAUUGUAACAGAAAAGCGGCUGUAACUGUACCUUUGUUUCAAUAAAACUUUAUUUACAAAAACAUAGGGUGAGCUGGGUUUAGCUCCCAGGUAGUUUGUUGACCCUGGAGCAGUCUUGUGAGGGAUGUAUUUAUGAUUCAAACAUAGGAGUAGCAUGUAUUUCUCCCACUUGUUCUGUUGGCCAGAAAUGAGUCUCACGGUCUCAGCCAAACUGCAGGAGAACUGAAAUGUAGGCUACCUGGGUGGCCAGAAGAGAAGAACAGGACAUUACGGCUUCCAGCAGCCUCUGCUGCACCUUCAAGAGUUUAACGUGAAGGGGCUCUUCCAGGAAAACCAGAAGCUUCUAAUAAUUCAACUAAAAAGACCCUUUGUUGUGGCCUGGUUCCUGUACAGUUACCUACACAUAUCUCAGAUGUACACUCUGAUGAAUUUUGAUAGAUGUCUACACCCGUGAAACCACCACCGCCAUCAAGACAACUCACAUUUCCAUCACUCCCCAAGAGGUGCAAUUUUCAAAUUCCCAAUUUAUCCCUUC